Molecule: ribosomal RNA, 253 nt
Filed under: uncultured bacterium
Lineage: Bacteria
Description: partial 16S ribosomal RNA
Rfam family: Bacterial small subunit ribosomal RNA
Source: RNAcentral
UACGUAGGGGGCAAGCGUUGUCCGGAUUUACUGGGCGUAAAGAGCGCGUAGGCGGAACGUUAAGUCCGGUUUGAAAGCCCCCGGCUCAACCGGGGAGAGUGGCUGGAAACUGGCGUUCUUGAGGGCGAUAGAGGAGUGUGGAAUUCCUGGUGUAGCGGUGAAAUGCGUAGAGAUCAGCAGGAACACCCGUGGCGAAGGCGGCUUCCUGGGCCGCGCCUGACGCUGAGACGCGAAAGCGUGGGGAGCGAACGGG